GAUGAACGCUGGCGGCGUGCCUAAUACAUGCAAGUCGAGCGAACGGACGAGAAGCUUGCUUUUCUGAUGUUAGCGGCGGACGGGUGAGUAACACGUGGAUAACCUACCUAUAAGACUGGGAUAACUUCGGGAAACCGGAGCUAAUACCGGAUAAUAUUUUGAACCGCAUGGUUCAAAAGUGAAAGACGGUCUUGCUGUCACUUAUAGAUGGAUCCGCGCUGCAUUAGCUAGUUGGUAAGGUAACGGCUUACCAAGGCAACGAUGCAUAGCCGACCUGAGAGGGUGAUCGGCCACACUGGAACUGAAACACGUUCCGGACUCUAAGGGAGGCAGGCAGAAGGGAACCUUCCGAAAUGGGCGAAAGCCUGACGGAGAAACGCCGCGUGGGUGAGGAAGUCCUUCGGAUCGUAAAACUCUGUUAUUGGGAAAGAACAGAUUUGAAAGUAACUGUGCACAUCUUGACGGUACCAAAGCAGAAAGCCACGGCUAACUACGU
RNAcentral lists this ribosomal RNA (496 nucleotides) under uncultured bacterium. RNAcentral describes it as "partial 16S ribosomal RNA". It matches the Rfam family "Bacterial small subunit ribosomal RNA", at positions 28 to 506 of the family's 1533-position model. The record is from RNAcentral.